GCGGGUGUGGUUCAGUGGUAGAAUGCUACCUUGCCAAGGUAGAGAUACGGGUUCGAUUCCCGUCACCCGCUCCA
This 74-nucleotide transfer RNA is filed under the name Elusimicrobia bacterium RIFCSPLOWO2_01_FULL_54_10. Its description in RNAcentral is "tRNA-Gly". It matches the Rfam family "tRNA". Rfam says of the family: Transfer RNA (tRNA) molecules are approximately 80 nucleotides in length. Their secondary structure includes four short double-helical elements and three loops (D, anti-codon, and T loops). The record is from RNAcentral. Lineage: Bacteria; Pseudomonadati; Elusimicrobiota.